UAGCGCGCCGCGUGAUCCAUCUUUCUCUCGUCUUCUCUGUUCUACUUUUUUCAUUCAUGAUGAUUCGAAUUCUUGAUUCUAAAGUUUUGCGUGUUCUUUAAGUCCUUUGCUAAAACUUCUUUGCUGCGUGUUGUCCUGAUUUCAGGUUUUGCUGUUCACCUGUUCGUGAUUUCUUUGAUCCAAUUGCUAUAAAGGAACACUCGUAAUGGAUUAUCGGGUUGUAGAUAUCAAUCAAGAAUAUCGUAAUUCUCUUUAUCUUCUUUUAUUGAUCGGUUAUGUUAUCGAGAAUUGUUUGAAUAAUUUUUGGAUUAUUGGAUAUAAUUCUUCAUCAUUGGAUAAUCAAGAUACGUGUUUAUCCGUUUUGCAGCGAGAUGAAUCUAGAUCACUUUUGCGAUUCUUGAAAAAUUAGAUAGCAACAGAGAACGGUUCCAGAUAAAUCGAAUUGAACUGUGAACUUGAUUUUGAUUUCUUGAUUCUAAAGUUUUGCUUGUUCUUGAGAUCCGUUGCUCAGAUUUGUUUGCUUCGUCAUGUUUGGAUUUCAGGCUUUGCUUUAUUGAUGUUGAUCCGUUGCUCAGAUUGUUAAUGUCAAGAAUUUAACACAAUCACACUUCUAUUGACUCUUCCGUUAUGCAUCAUCGGUUAUAAAAAAUUAUUUGUACAAUUAUUUGGCUAUAAUUCUUCAUUUGAUAAUCUGAGAGAUGGCUUUAUCCGUUUUGCAGUGAGCUGAGAAAUGUUGAUAUCUAGAACGAGUUGACAAGAUCGGAGAACGGUCUCCAAUAGUUAAAUCAAAUUUCUUCAAUGAGUCUUUUAUUACCAUUCUUAUUUAUUUUCGGGAUUUGAUUUCAAGAAAGACGAAUUGAAUUUUGAACAUGAUUUUCUGCAGCUUGGUUUGUCAAAUUAUUAACCUUCUUCGUAGCAUGGUGAUGGAGCCUAGAAUUUUGAUUUGGUGAUCUAUUAACCUUCUUCAUAUUGCGGUUUGUGUAUACUAAUACAAUUUAAACGAUAUGAAUUCAAGGAGAAGAAGAGAGAAGAGAAAACACAAAAAGAAACUAUGAAUAAAAGCACCAGCCCUAUUUAAGUAAUAUAAAAUUUAAUCUUAAAAGAUAUUCUAAGAUACUUUAAUAUAAUCUUUUCUGUAAUCUUUUCUGAGGUUUUAUUUGGUUGUUGGUUUUGAUUUUGGAGUUUUCCUGUAAUAUUUUCUAAGGUUUUAUUUACCUAUUUUACUAUAUUAUUGAGUUUUUUUCAUCAAAUGUUAUUCUUUGUGUAUAUCAGAUAAUGGUGAUGUUUUGCAAAACUUGACACUUGAUUAUCACAUCUCAUUAAACUGCAAUCAGGUUUAUUUUGGUACACAACUUGGAUUGUGAAUUAUUUUCAAUUCAUCUAUUCUCCGUGGAAUUUUAUUGUGCAGUCUUCCUGACAAGUUUAUUUUGAUGAUGACAAGUUUAUUGGCAUGCGGUGAGUGUUUGGUACUGAAAAGUUCAGACUUAGCGUUGGUAUUGCUUUCUUACAUUAGGUUUCUUACAUUAGGUUAUCUGCCAGUGUGAUAAAUUGGAGUGGACAGCUUUGUGGAGGACUCUUCCUAACUAUGAUAUUCUGAUCAGGACUUGGUUUGGAGAAUUAUGCUACUCUCUUUUUCUACAACUAUUUGUCGUAUGUGAUUUUGUUGAACGUGUAUGAUAUCAUCUGGUGUUCACAGGGUGCCAAAGAAGUCUUCUUUCCCAAUCACCUUGUUAACUUUGUUAUCUGAAGUGGAGAAAUUAAAGACGAGUGCCUCUGUGGUUUGCUACUUACUUAUCUCCUGUGAAUCUUCUGUGAAUUAAUCACCUUGUAAACCUUCAUGUUUUGCUGGCUGUGGUAUAUAUUUUCAACUAUUGCUAGGAUUAAUUUGGCAAUGCGAAUUUAGAUUUGAACAUCUCUGCUUGCAUACAGGCUUCUCGAUCAUUCUCUACAAGUUUGGGCGAGAGUAUCAUAUAAUUGUGAUUGAUCUUGGCAUAUAAUUGGUCUUUUUUUAUUAUAUGUAUAUGUAUUUGUUCCCGAAUAGUUGUUCUUUGAUUGUGUCAUUUUUGUGUUUCUUCCAGUGUUGAAGUUUUCUUUUGUUUCUGUAUCCAGAACCUAAGUACUACUCUGGCAUAGAUUACAUUGGAAUGACUCUUUGGCCUUAACUUGGUUUGGGGGGCAGUAUCCAAUUUUUUUUAUUGUUUUGUUGUUUUUGUUGUGAUUUAUGAUGAUGAUACUCAUACUCCUAAAAAGAUACCCUCUUCAUUACAGUGGUCAAAUGACUCUUUAUUAGGAGGAAGCUAAAAUCGUGUCAUUUCAUAUGGGUUUUGCUGUUGUUGAUUUCUUUGAUCUAAUACUAUAAAGGAACCCUCGUUAUGGAUUUUCGGAUUAUAGAUAUCAAGAAUUUCGUAAUUCUUUUAAUCUUCUUUUGUUGAUUAGUUAUCGAGACUUGUUUGCAUAAUUUUUGGAUUAUUGGAUGUAAUUCUUCAUCAUUGGAUAACCGAGAUACCUGUUUAUCCGUUUUGCAGCGAGAUGAAUCUAGAUCAGUUUUGCGAUUUUUGAUAUUGUGGAUAACAACAGAGAACGGUUAAGAUAAAUUGAAUUGAACCGUGAACAUAUUCUGAAUUCUUGAUUCUAAAGUUUAGUUUUAUUGUUUGUUCGUAAGAUUCGUUGCUCAGACUUGUUUGAUUCGUCAUGUUUGGAUUUCAGGCUUUGCUUUGUUGAUCUGAAUGGAGUCUUUCUUGAUUUCCUCAUGGAUUUUGGUUUCUUGAUUUGUAAUCUUGAUUGUUUACGGUUCACCGUUCUUGUUUUCUUUGGUCUGCCGCUAUAAACGUAUUAAUAUGGUUUUCUCAUAUAUUGCAGAUAUCAAGAAUUUCACACGAUCACACUUGUAUUCACUCUUCUUUUAUGCAUCAUCGUUUAUCAAUGAUUAUUUCAAUAACUUUAAUAUAAUUAUUCAAUUGAUAAUCGAGUUAUGAAUUUGUUCGUUUUGCUUGCAGUGUGUUGAAAAGUUUUGAUGUCUAGAGCAAACUUGAUACAUUAGAUAAGAUUGGAGAAUGGUCCCGAAUAGAUAAAUCAAAGUUAUUUUUCACGUUUCUUGAUUUGUUAUCUUGAUUGUUUACUCCGAGAGUCUGAGAAAUAAUCUUGAUUUCAGGGAUUGUUCUCAUAUUGCAGUGCAGAUAUCAAGAAUUUCAUGUGAUCACAUUGCUAUUCACUCAUCAUCGGUUAUCCAUAAUUAUUUCAAUAACUUUUGAAUAUGAUUCUUCAAUUGAUAAUCAAGUUAUACAUUUAUCUGUUUUGCUUAUGCAGUGAGCUGAAAAGUUUUUGAUGUCCGAGCAGACUUGAUACAAUAGAUAAGAUUGGAGAACGGUCCCGGAUAGAUAAACCAAAUUUCUUCAAUGAAUCUUUUUUUACUACUUAUAUUUAUUUUUCGGAUUUGAUUUUAAGACGCGAAAUUGAACUAAGAACAUGCUUUUCUGCACUGUGGUUUGUCAAAAUGUUAACUUUCUUCAUAGCAUGGAGUGGACCCUAGAAUUAUGAUUUGGUGAUCUCUAUUAACCUUCUUCACAGCAGCAUGGUUUUGUAUAUAUGAACAAACACUAAUCACUAUUUACAUAGAUGCAAUUACGAAGAAAACAUAAAUAAUAAUAAGUAAUAUAAAAUUUAAUCUUUAAAGAUAUUCUAAGAUACUUUAAUAUAUUAUCAAAGAUACUGAAGAUAUUUUUGGAUAUUUUAACGGUUUGAUCUUCAUGUUAUGUAACCUUUUAAGGUUUUAUUUGGUUGUUGAUUUUGAUGAUCUUAAAAGUUUCUUUUGUCAAUUGUUUUGUGAAACAGAUGCAUGAUUAUCACCUCUUGUUGAAUGAUUAUUACCUCUUGUUGAAUUGUGAAUGGAAAAUAUAUAUAAGUAAACUUCCUCUUAUAUAUAGGACCGGAGGGAGUAUGUUUUGAAACAGUGAACUUCAGUUAUAAAGCAAUCAGGUUUAUUUUCAUACACACUUCUUGGAUUGUGAAUUAUUUUCAAUUCUCUGUGGAGUUUUAUUGUGCAAUCUUCUCAACAAGUCUAUUUUGAUGACAAGUUUAUUGAGGUGUGGUGAAUGUUGGGAUUGAAAAGUUCAGUUGCAGGGUUUCCUUGUGCCAUCAGUACAAAAUUCUGGAUAAAUUGGCAGUGAACAGCUUUGUGGAGCUCUCUUCCUAAUUAUGAUCUUCUGAUCAAGAACUUUGUUUGGAGAAUUAUGCUACACUCUAUUUAUUCAUAGCUUUUUCUACAACUAUUUGUCACAUCGUGUUCCCACUUGUUAACCUUUAUGUCUGAAGUGGAUAAAUUAAAGAUGAGUGCCUCUAUGCUAUGAAUUAAUUAACAGUUUUGCUGGCUGGUGGUAUAUAUCAAGUUAUAAACUAUUGCUGUGAUUAAUUUGGCUAUGUGAAUCUAGAUUUUAACAUCUCUGCAUACACGCGAUCCUUAUUAUUCCAUGCUAUACUUGGGAUAUAAUUGGUCGAUUUUUAUUAUAUGUACAUGUAUAUUUUCCUGGACAAUUAUUCUUUGAUCCUGUUCAAUGUGGUGUUGAUUCCAGAACCUUUGUACUACUCUAGCAUAGAUUACAAGAUUUUGGAAUGACUUUUUGGCCUUCCCAAGAUGAGGAAUUUUGGACAAACUGGAUAUAAACUUGAUUCUGAUUAACUUAACCUUUUUGGGGGAGGUUUUCUAAAUCUUCAUUACUGUUUUGAACAAGAUGAUGAUGAUGAUACUCCUAAAAGUAUACCCUCUUCAUUAUAGUGACCAAAUGACUCUUUUGUAUUAGGGUGAAGCCAAAAUCAUGUCAUUUCAUAUGGGUACACGAUCUUGCAAAUUGGAUUGAAAUUUGGUCAACUCUUCUAAGACUCUUCUUUACAUUUCAGUGCUUUUUUAUAAUAAUACUCAACACAUAAAAGGUCAGUUGCUUUGAAUUUUCUUUGUGAUUGUUAUAAGGGAGAGAGCCUAUAAAUGUGUGGUUCACUUUGGAACCCAUGGCAGGCAGAGGUUCACAUACUUCCUUUUCAGCUUGGGAUUUUGGAUAGUGUCAGAGUUUUUGUGUAUACGUAUCAGGAAUGUAAGCAUGUAAGCAUGAAUGAAGCAAUGACAAGCAAUCCGUGACAACUUGGUUUGGCACCAAAAUCUGCAAUUGACAGCUGUUGAUGGCUUUCAUUUGGUUAUCACUACUCUGACUAUGCAUUCUUCAUGUUUCUUUGUAUAUUUUGAGGAUAUUGUUUUCUUGAUUACAAAGACCUGUUUUUGCUUUGGUGUUACAGAGGAGAGAUCUGUGAAUGUACCAUCAAAUUUGAAAGCUUUGAGCCUUUGGAUUCAACGGGUUACAUUUUUCCUUGAGUGUUUGUUCUGGAAUAGGUGUACUCCUAGUAUGGUGUGGCAGUGCUGGUAUUUAUUAUGUUUAGAAUUAUGAAUUUGAGUAUUAGCAGCGUAUGUCUUUCUUGGAUAAUCAAGAUAUAAGUCUGUUUUGCAGUGAGUUGAAUGUUUGUAGAUACUUGAUUCAUUUUUUAGUGAGCUGAUCGAUUUUUGAUUUCUGGAAUAGGUGUCCUAGUAUGGUGUGGCAGUGCUGGUAUUUAUUUAUGUUUAGAAUUAUGAAUCUGAUCAUAUUAGCAGUGCAUCUCUUUCUUGGAUAAUCAAGAUAUAAGUCUGUUUUGCAGUGUGUUGAACGUUUGUAGAUACUUGAUUUUUCUUAUGACGAUAGUAGAGAUUUUUUUUGUUUUUUGUUUGUGUGUUUUGGGACAGCUUGGUGGGCCUCUCGUUGUUAUGCUGAUCUGUGAAUUGGUUUCAAGAACUUUGCUGAUCUUUCUCCUAAUGUUAUUUUUUAUAUGGUAUUAACAGAGUAAGUGUUGUACGGGUUUGGUAUACCACAAGUUUCCUUCUUUCUCAAACACACUGCACAUUUUUAAUCCGCUCAAGUUUCUUUGCCGCUUUGUGCCGCUUAUCUUCUGUAAACGUAUUAACCUUCCACAUGAACCAUAAUUGUUAGGUGGCUGUGUUAUAUAUCUUAUUCUAGGCUUUAAUUUGGUAAACUGUACUCAUAUUUGAAUUCUUUAACAUUUCAUUAUAUCUGUUUCAGCAUACCCGCUUCUUGAUUCCUUUGUGAAAGUUUAUGGUGAGGUUAUCACAUCUCUUUUUAUCUUUGGGAAAUAAUUGGUAAUUGAUAAGUUAUAUUUAUUUCUUUGAGGGUUGAAGUUUCUGUAACGUGAGUUUUACCCGAUUGUACGUUUAGCAUAUAAGAUUCUGUUGUAACUCUUCCUUUCCCAUGAUGAGGAAUUUUGGACAACUUGGUUAGGUGCAGUUUCUUAUGAUCUUUUUCAUCGGCCCAAGAACUCCUCUGGUAUUAAGGUAGAAGCUUAAAUUGGUCAUCUCUAUUUUGUUUUGGGAUUGAUGAUAUGUCUUGUGAUGGUGACAGCUUUGGUUCUGUUAGUUUGCCACUUCCUUUGAAAGUGAGGAAGCCCAAAUAAUUGUCAUUUAAUAUGGAGCACAAAUCUGCAAUUGGUUAUCUCAACUCUGGCUAUGAAUUCUUUACGUUUCUAUUUCUUGAGGAUUUAGUUUUCUUGAUUCCUAAAGUUUCAUGUGGGUGUCACAGGGAGGAUAUAUGGACUGCGAAAGCUGUGGAAUGAUUAUGACUUUUGCUUGGUUGUUACUGUUGAAUUAUCUAUCCAUGUGAUGUGGUAAUGUUGAUAUGUGUGUUGCUUAUUCGGAAUCUAAGUAUUAGGAGAGCUUUAUAAUGUAUAAUUUAAGCUUUAACCUUUAUUUUCUUACAAUUGCUUGUCGUGCAGUUGUUUUUUCAUGUUCAGAAUCUGUGUAUAUUUUUCACUAAUCAAUCUAAGGCCAUGAUUGGCGAACAAGUUAAUACUGACUCAUCUUAUAUUUAGCCUGAAAAGCCUAUACACUAUAGCACAUACAUCUUUCUAAAUAUACAGUGUUACAUAAAUUUGGCAAUGUUUUGUCUAUAUAUUAAUGUAAUCUUGAAGUGUCAAUUUAUCAUCAAGAACUAACUCAUUAUUUGUACAACUAAAACUAGAAGAACGAUUCUUAUUCCUAUGGAUGUAUGAAAUCAUAAUAUAAUGGUACUCAUUCGCGAUAGAGGCCUACUACAUUGAUUCUUAGAGCUAUAUUUCUUGAUUUUUUUUAUCCAUUGACUAGAUUGUUUGCUCCGUUGAGGCUUAUAACAAACUUACAUUUGUGUAUUUGUUUUGGGAUACUCGGUAUCUACUUUUACAGUUCCUUUGAGUUUUUUGUGUGGGAGAACACAUACUUUCCGUUCAGCCUAUAAAUACGUGUGGUUUGCCAGGGAUCCAGUAGCAGGAAAAGGUUCACAUACUUUUUGUUCAGCCUGGGGAUAACAAUAGUUUUACUUACAUGUGUAUUUAUUUUGGGAUAGGGUUGGAGCAUGAGUAUGAAGCAUCUAAGAUUACAGAGUAAAUCUCUUUGUCAUCCCCAAGGAUGAGGAACUGGACAAGCUUGGUUUGGCACUUUUUUUUGUUCUUUUGACUCUUCUUUUAUGGAUUGGUUAAUCAAGAUAUGUGUUUAUCCGUUUUGCAGUGAGAUGAAGUCAUUGGAUAUGUAGAACAUUUUGAGAUUGUUUAUUAAAUGGAUAAGAACAGAUAACAUUUCCAGAUAAAUCAAUUUUCUUCAAUGAGUCAUUCUUCAUAAUUUCUAUUUACCGUGCUUCCAUUCGGUGAUAUCUUUUCUGACAAUGAAUUUUUCAUGUUUCUUUUGUUUAUUUUGAGGAUCUUUGUACACUAGCUUCCUUUGAGAGACUUUGAAUUAUUGUGCGACUUGAAAGCUGUGGUAGACAUUAUUAAGGAAAUGCUUUGAGCUAGUGAAGAUAAACACACAAUUCCUUCUGGUUCCAUCUCCCUCUUAUUUCAUAUUUCAUAUUUUUGUAUUCUCACUAUUGUUCCUUUGGUACUCUGGUCUAUUGAUGUUGAGGUUUGAUUUGGUGCUUGCUGGUUAUUACUAAAAACAGAAGAAUAUUGAGAUAUUCAUUUAUCUAUUUUGCAGCAAGUUGAAUUCUGGAUAUAUGGAACAAUUUGCGAUUAAAAUGGAUAAGAACGAUAAUGGCUAUAGAUACAUAAUCAAAUUUCAUCAAUAAGUCUUUCUUUAUUACUUUUUAUUUUGGGCUUUGAUUGCAAGACAUACAAAUUGAAUUGUGAAUUUGUUUUUCUGCAGCGUGGUUUGUGAAAAUCAAAAUAAUAACUAUCUUUCAUCAUAGUGUGGAGCCCUCAUGUUUUAAUUUCCUUAUCUCUCUUAAAAUAUUUUAGUUUGCAAUAACUAUUGCUUUUGAAUGCAUAUUUUCUUGAUAUUUUAUUUCCUCUGAUGUUGCAGGAAAGUAAUUUGUGAACACUGAUUCCUUCUGGUUCUGGUUCUAUCUUUCUUUUGUUUGAUAUUCAUGUUUUGUAUUCAUAUUCAUUUCUGGUCUUUUGAUUUGGUUCUGUUCUUUUUACUACUUAUGUAUCCAUGCUUCUCAUUCAUUCUUUGGAUAUAAUUGGUCUUUUUUAAUUAUAUGUAUUUGUGUUUCAUCUAGUGUUGAAGUUGUGUGUUUCAGGAUCCACAACUUGAAUAAAUCUUUUCCCUUUCCAAGAUGAGAAAUUUUGGACAAUAUUUGGUUAUGUCAUAUGUGUUGUUUGCUUUUAUGAGUUGUUCGUUGGUGACAUAAUAACUUUGUUGGGGAAGGUUUUUCAUAAUUUUCUUUUGUUGCUAUUAUUUUGAUUUGUGAUUUAUGAUGAUGAUGAUGAUGAUGAUACUCCUAAAAAAACAUCCUCUUCAUUACAGUGGCCCAAGGACACGGCGUUGGCUUGCCAAGGUACACAAUUCGAUCACUUUUCACUUCACUCCUCCUUGAUCACAUACUGACUUGAGCGUCGGAGUGCUAACAUGUUUUGCAGGUACCUUCCCCACCGUGAUCCACCGUACAAGAAAUCUAACGCAACCUUAACUUCCUUUAGCCUCACCAUUGGAGUUAUCUCAUUGAGAUCUGGUCCGAACACACUAUAUUAGGGAGAACCUUUAUGUUCAUUUGCCACUUCCAAUGUUAUAAUUGUUUUUCUAUAUUAUUCUAUUCUUUUCAUUUGUGGUAUAUAAAAUAAUACUAACAAGAAUCUUCUCUCCCAAAUGGGUAUCCCUCACAGAAUUUGCAAUUGAAGAAAGAACUUGGUAUAGGGAAUGGAACACCAGAAUCUACUCUGACUGAAUUCUUCACGUUUUUUUGUUUGUUUUGUGGAUCUAGGUUUUUUUAUUCCUUUGUCAGUUUGGCAUAGAUUUAUCUAUGAAGGACAUGUUUUUGCUUUGGUGUAACAGGUGGGAGCGGCCAUGAUUGUGCCCCGUGGGAUUUGAAAUGCUUUGAGCCUUUGGAUUUAACGGGUCAAUUUUCCUUGAAUGUUCUUGUUUUGGAAUAAGUGUCCUAUGAUAGUGUCUAUUUUUAUGUUCAGAAUUAUAUAUCCAUAUCUUUCUUGAAUAAUCUUGAGAUAUACAAUCUGUUUUGCAGUGAAUUGAAGUUUGAUAACAAGAACGUUUGUAAGAUACUUGAUACAAUCGAUAAGAAAGGAGAUUCAAGAUAAAUCAUGAUGUUUCUUCGAUGAGUCAUUCUUUACUAUUUUUAUUUUCGAGCAUUGUUCAUAAUUAGACAUACAAAUUAAAUUGCGAAUAUACUAUUCUGCAGAAUGGUUUGACAAAAUAAUGUCGUUCUUCAUAGUGCAGAGCCUCAAAUUUUGAUUUGCAUAUCUUCAGUAAAUUCUUUUCGUUUCAGUGUUCCUAUAAUGAUUCUGAGAGGAUAUAUUUCUUUAUUUAGUAUUUUUUUUCGAUGGAUUUUCAGGAGAGGAUAUCUAUAAAGACACAAUUCCUUAUGGUUCUUCAUUUAUUAUUUUUUCUAUGGUACUCUAGUUUCUUGAUGUGGAGGUUUGAUUUGGUUAUGCUGGUUUCGAUCGUGGGGUUUGUUGUUCUUAUAUCAAUGAUCUGCUGCUAUGAAUGAUUUGUACUGGCUUCUCUUCCAAUUCUCGUUUAAUUAUAUGUGUAGUCCUUUGAUAUAAUUUAUCAUUUGAUAAAAGAAUAUUGAGAUAUUCGUUUAUCCAUUUUGCAGCGAGCUGAUCUCUGGAUAUAUGAAACAAUUUGCAAUUAUAAUGGUUAAGAUCGAUAAUGGCUACAGAUACAUAAUAAAAUUUCUAGGAUGUGUAAUUCUUAAUUAUUUUUAUUUUUGGGCUUUGAUUGCAAGACAUACAAAUUGAAUUUUGAACCUGUUUUUCAGCAGCGUGGUUUAUCAAAAUCAAAAUAAUAACGAUCUUUCAUCAUAGCAUGGAGCCCACGUGUUUUGAUUUGCUUAUCUUAUUUAAAAUAUUAUAGCUUUCGAUAACUCUGGCUUUGGAAAGCAUUUUUUUCUUGAUAUUUUAUUUCCUCGGAUGUUGCAGUGAAGGUCAUUUGUGUACACUGAUUCCUUCUGGAUCUGGUUUUAUCUUUCUUUUGUUUGAUUUUCAUGUUUUGCAUUCAUACAUAUGAAUUUAAAUACGAUGCUGUUUUCUGCAGUGUUUUAAAACAAUUCUGUGUAGUGUCAACUAUCAUGCCCCAGAUUGUGAAUUAUUUUCAUUUCUAUUAUUAUUGUCUAGAUGAUUUACUUCUUUUUUCUACAUUUGGCUUUUUUAUCUGAAUUCUACAGUGCAGAAGUUUACAUGAGGAAGUUGGUGGGCAUCUUGUUGUAAUGCUGAUAUGCGACUUGGUUUGAAGAAUUAUGCUACUAUUCUUUCUUCUUAGUUCUUUUUUUUACAACCUAUUUUUCCUAGUGUAAUUUUUUUCUGUAAAUGUAUCAUGUGCUAUUGGCACAGUAAGUUUUACAUGGUUUGUUGUACCACAGAAGUUUCCUUCUUUCGCAAUUUUCGCCAUCUGAAGUGGAGAAUAUUGGAGAUGAGUUUCUUUGCCGCUUUGUACUACUUACCUUCUGUGAACAGAUUAACAAGGACACAUGAACCAUAAUGUUCUGACGGACGUCUUAUAAAUUUGCUAGGCUUUACUUUGGCAAUUUGGUGAUGUCUACUCUGGUUAUGAAUUCUUUACAUUUCGGAAUAGUCGUUUCAGCAACUAUGCUUCUUGAUUCCUUUGUCAAAGCUUAGGGUGAGGUUAUCACAUACUCCACCUUUUAUCUUUGAGUGACUUAUUUCUUCCGGUGUUGAAGUUUUUUUUUGUGUGUUUCUGUAUCUGUUAACUUCAGUUUUACUCUGUGGUUUUGCAUACAAGCUUUUAGAGUAACACUUCCCUUCCCAAGAUGAGUUUUGGACAACUUGGUAGGUGCUGUUUGUUAUGAUGAUUUGUUUGUUGCGGAUCAAUUGACUACAGUGGCCCUAGGACUCCUCUGGUAUUAGGUUGAAGCUUAAAUUGUGACAUUUCGUAUGAUUACAAGAUAUUCCAAAUUGGACGGAAAUUUGUUCCAAUGAACUAUCCUGUUCUGCAGGCUGUGUUCUAUGCCUUGUUUGGUCAUCUUUAAUAAAGACUUCACAGUUCAGAGACUUGUCAAGAUAAAACCAGUAACUUGUUUUUGGCAAGCAAAGGUUAACAUACUAUAAUUCAAUUCAGUCUUGCGAUCAAACCAGUAAUUUUUUCACAUCUGUUCGUUUUGUGAUUGGGGAUGUUUGUCUUUUGAUGGUGUCUGCUAGUGUUGGUGUUUUUUGUUUUGUGUUUGUAUCAGCUGCAUGAACAUUGUGCAGACAAGAUUCAAAGUAUAUCUCUUUGCCCUCACCAAGGAUGAGGAAUUCUGAACAGCUUGGUUUGGGCUUUCUCUUGUUCUGUUAAUUUAUUACUUUCCUUUGUUAUGAUUCUUUCACUAUUUUCUUGUCCUUUGUGACAUAUAAGAAUAAGACUAUGAAUUCUCACACAAAAGGAUUUUUGUCACAGAGAGGAAGCCUAAAUUAUUGUCAUUUCACAUGAAGCACCUAUCUGCAAUUAGAUGUAUUCACAUUGUUACGUUGUAUGCUAAAUCAGUGGUGAUCUCCACUCUGACUAAGAAUUCUUCGCGUUUGUCUCUUGAGGAUCUAGUUUUCUUAAUUUCCUAUAGUUUCAUGUAGGUGUCACAAGAAGGAUAUAGACAGCGAGAUGUGCAACAUUGUUACAGAAGAGAUAGCCUAUGAAUGUAAUGUGGGUAAAACUGGUCAUUUUUAUUUAAAUGUACUUUUUCUGGAUUUGAGUAAUUGUCAAUUGAUGGUGUGAUGUGGCAAUGCUAAUUUCAGUUUUUUAUCAGAAAUUUGAGUAUUAGGAGGGCUUAAAAAUUUAUGAUUGUGUAUCUUUUAGCUUGGUUUAUGAUGUGAGUUUUGUGUCACUUUAAUCAUGAUCAUUGAGUUGGAUAAAUCUAAUUUCAUCAUUGAAUUGUGUUGUAUUUUUUUUUUCUUUCAUGCUGUUUCAUUUGGCUUCCUGUUGAACAAUAAGGUUUAAUAUGGUGACAAGUACUCUUUGCUCGCGCCAAGGAUGAGGAAUUCUCGACAGCUUGGUUUUGGCUCUCUUUUGUUCUGUUAAUUUACCACUUCCUUUGUUAUGAUUCUUUUACUAUUUUCUUGUCUUUUCUUUAUUUAUAUGAAUCUGUCAAAUGGGCAUCCGUCACAGUUGGAAAUCAUUUGGUGAUUUCUACUCCGAUUAUGAAGGAAUUCAUGUUUCUUUCUCUUGAAUCUAGUUUUCUUGAUUCCUUAAUUUCCCUGUGGUGUGGGUGCACAGGGAGGGUAUGAACUGUGAAAGCUGCUACGAGAUUAUGAAGUUCUGCUUUUGGUUGUUACAAUGUAGAUAACCUACGAAUGUAAUGCGGGAUAAAACUGGUCAUUUUUAUUUAAAUGUACUUUCUUAUGGAUUGGAAUGGUUGUUUUUUAAUGGUGUCACGUGUUUAUGUUAUAAUUUUUGUGUGGUGUUCAUCAGAUUGGGAAAGCUAUAGAAUUUGUGAUUCUGUAGUAUAUGUGUUUUUCUAGAUGAGAAGCUGAAUAUAUAUAAUUCUGGUGUACAUCUCUUAGCUUGGUUAUUGUGUGAGUUUUAUGAUAUUUACGAUCAUUGGCUCUGGAUAAAUCUAAUUUCAUCCUCGAGUGUCUAUAGUGUCAAGCCUCGAGUAUAAGUUAUUAUUCAUUGUUUAUGUAUUGAUUCUUAUUGUUUGUCCUUCUUGAUUUACAGGAAAGAUAAAUAUAUGAAUGUGCGACUAUGGCGGAGAUUAUAAUCAGUUGGGGGUUUACUUACCCUCAAUACUAUGCUUUCUUACAUAUGCUUAAUUUGUGUAUGUUUAAGUUUUGUGCCUUGUCCCAAGGAGGCAAGGAUUCAUCCGUAUAAUGAGGAUGCCUAAAUUGUUUCAUUUCAUAUUGAUUAUAAGUUCUUGCAAAUCGGAAGGAAAAUUGUUCCAUUGAAACAUUGGGUGUGUUGAAUACUAGGCAUCUAGUUUUUGCAUUUCCUUUGAGUUUUCUGUGUGGUUGUUAGAUGACUUAUGAAUGUGUGCUAUGCUGUGGAGCCCUUUGCAGGCUGUGGUUAAAUAUACUAUCCAUUCAAUUCCCGGCCUUGGGAUCUGUCAUGUUUUGACUUAAAGUUGUUGUGUCCUGCCAGUCUUGGUGAUUUUGCGUUUCUGCAUCAAGAACGUGAGAACUUAAUCAUACCAGAUUCUAUAGUAUAUCUUUUCUCUGGAUACUUAAGCUGCUUUGGAGCUCUCUGGAAUGUAUAAGUUUUGGUUUCUUUUUUGCUUCUGAAGUUUUCUGUACUUGAUUUCAUGAACCUAGUAAUCAAGCUGUUUUCUGUAUUUGCUGGUUUCAAUCAGUUUUUUUUUUUUUGAUAAGCUUCAAUCAGAGUUUAUUGUUUGUACCUUCAAAUUUUGGUGGCUUAUCCAUGAAACUCUUCUGAAACAACAGGAAAGAUUGAAAGUUGAAUUUGCAAAAAGCUGUGUCUUUCUUUACUGACAUAAUCAUCCUGGAGAGGUCAUAGUUGGACAGUGCAUCCAAAUUGUGCAACCAUUAGGUGAAGGCGUCUGUUGGAAUAAUUAAGAUUUGAUGAUAUUGGUGCAUGCCUACUAUAAAACAUAACAUUCAUCGGCUCUAGUUAAAUCUGGUUUGUUCAUUGAAUUGUUUGGUACUCAUUUUUCAGGCUUUGAUAGCGUGUGUAUUGAAUCGUAAACCUGUUUUAUGGAUAUUAGUGUGUUCAGACAAUGAAGUUAUAUGUAACAUCAAAUCUGUGUAGAACUUCAUAAGGAGACUACAUAUGAAGAACAACCUAGUCAAAAAUACUACAUUUUAUAAAAUUUAUGCAAUGAAUUUUGCUGUGUUACGGCUGUUAAAAAAAAAAAAAAAAUUUCUGAUAUUAUUGUUUAUCAUUUAGAAUAUAAUAAAAAUAUCCUUUGAAUAAGCUGUAUUUGCAUAAAUUUCACUGUGUAACUCUUCCUACAACAACAUAAGGUGAACACUUAUCAGUAUUUAAUAAUCAAAAGGGUUAAGUCUCUGCUGCAUCAAAGAAAUUUUCCUACACAAGAUUCAAACUGAAAUCUUUAACAUCAUGUGCACUUGAAUCUUCUUGCAUCCAGUCUACAUAAUCUUUUGGUGGAAAAAUGAAAUUUAAGUGAUAUGAAGUAUGAACAUGAAAACUAAAUGAGAAAGGUAGGGAAAAUGUACAAAGAAAUCUUUCUUUUGAUGAUGUUCUCUGAUCUAUGUAACAUGCAGAAGGUACAUGUUGGUAAAUUUUCUUGACUGCUGAACAUUGGAAAAUUUUGAGUUCAGUGCACAUCUACUUUCAAAACGUUGGUUCAGUAUGAUCUAUAUAUCCAGGCUAAGUUCAAAAUAAACAAAGAAAUGAAACAAAAACUAAACAAAAGGGUCUUCAUCCUCCUGAGGUACUCCAGAAGCGUUGUUGACAGAGUGAGUAAAAGACUACAUUGUGGAAGGGAAGAGGAAUGGAGGAUGAAUCUUAUAUGCUAGUAUAAUGCUGAAUAUCUUAUAUGCUAGUAUCUUCAGAAGGAUGAAUCAAAGUAAUCAAAAAUAAUGUGAAAAACAAGAGAGGAAUACAAAUGAUGUGUAGACAUGAUUUCCUUGAAGCCUUGUUACAGAAGCACAAGAUCAAUGCAAUGUAUGCUAAAACUAACUGAAUUUCGACAAGCUACGUUUAGGAGUCAAUUGCAUAAUUUGAGAGGGAGUUUCAUGUUCCCUGCAAUUAGAGGUCACAAGUUUAAGUCAUGGAAACAGUCUUUCCAUUUGUGAGGCAAAGCUGCAUACAUCUGUCCCCCUAUCCCAUAUGGUAAGAGCCUCGUGUGUUGAGUAACUUUCUUGUUUUUGCCUUUUAUUAACUCUCAUCUUUAUGGAUU
Long non-coding RNA from Trifolium pratense (red clover), 15311 nucleotides. RefSeq lists it as uncharacterized. The record is from RefSeq and is a predicted model, not a curated record. The transcript is spliced from 5 exons. Lineage: Eukaryota; Viridiplantae; Streptophyta; Magnoliopsida; Fabales; Fabaceae.